Ostrea edulis (European flat oyster) is the source of this 465-nucleotide long non-coding RNA. RefSeq lists it as uncharacterized. The transcript is spliced from 3 exons. The record is from RefSeq and is a predicted model, not a curated record. NCBI's taxonomy places the organism in Eukaryota, Metazoa, Mollusca, Bivalvia, Ostreida, Ostreidae.
CAAAUAGUUUAUAUUGUAAGCGCUUUGUUGAUUGAAAGUAAAAAGAAAAGUACUGUCAUCAGUGUCACGGAUGGGGAAAAAAAAACAUGCAUGCAGUCUUGGUCAGCUGGCAAAUGUUGGUAUUGCGCAACUUGACAUAACCCGAAACCAUUAACCAGAACAUUGACAGACUCAGUUCAAGAAAAGGUUGUCAUGGAAUCACCGGACGAGCUGCCAUACACGUUACUGAUUGGUUCCGUCGUCAUGGUUUUAAUGAUGUCGUUCAUUGUGACACGAGUGUUGACUGGCACAUGUAAGAACACCAGUGAUCUUCGCCCAAAGCAGAAAUCGACCUGAGACAACUUUAAUACCUAUAAAGGCAGCGAAGCUUUACCAAAAUUAAUGUUCCUGUAUAUCUGAUGUAUGUUAUUGUGUAUAUAUUGUAAUUUUUUUUUCAUGAGAAUAAUAAAAGCAAUGAAAUAACAA